Molecule: RNA transcript, 3120 nt
Organism: Cervus elaphus (red deer)
Lineage: Eukaryota; Metazoa; Chordata; Mammalia; Artiodactyla; Cervidae
Gene: ARX
Gene name: aristaless related homeobox
Exons: 6
Source: RefSeq, a predicted model, not a curated record
GCCGGGAGCGCACAGCCCGGAGCAGCCCGGCCUCUGGCGAGAGCCAAUCAGAGGGCGCCUCUCAGCACGUGGAGGAGAGAGACUCCAGCGCUCCGCGCCCGCCGCUCACUACACUUGUUACUGCUUGUCCUGAGCGCCGAGAGGGCGAGCUCCGGCCGUAGGCAGGGCGGGAGCCGGCAGCCAGCGACCGAGAGAGGCCGAGAGGCACUGAGAUCGCAAUAAUAUCCACUAUAACCAGCCAUCUAACCCCACCCCCUCAACACACACCCAUCCAUCCCACCCGCCCCGAGAGGCAGCCCGCGGCCCGCUUCUCUGCGCCCAGGGGAAAAAACCCAGCCAUGAGCAAUCAGUACCAGGAGGAGGGCUGCUCCGAGAGGCCCGAGUGCAAAAGUAAAUCUCCAACUUUGCUCUCCUCUUACUGCAUCGACAGCAUCCUGGGCCGGAGGAGCCCGUGCAAAAUGCGGCUGUUGGGAGCCGCGCAGAGCUUGCCCGCUCCGCUGGCCAGCCGCACCGACCAGGAAAAGGCCGUGCAAGGCUCCCCCAAGGGCAGCAGCGCCCCGUUCGAGGCCGAGCUGCACCUGCCGCCCAAGCUGCGGCGCCUGUACGGCCCGGGCGGGGGCCGCCUCCUCCAGGGCGCCGCGGCGGCGGCGGCGGCAGCGGCGGCGGCGGCGGCGGCGGCCGCCACGGCCACGGCGGGUCCGCGGGGGGAGGCCCCGCCGCCGCCGCCGCCGCCGACCGCGCGGCCCGGGGAGCGGCCGGAUGGCUCAGGGGCCGCCGUGGCGGCCGCCGCCGCCGCCGCCGCGGCCUGGGACACUCUCAAGAUCAGCCAGGCGCCGCAGGUGAGCAUCAGCCGCAGCAAGUCGUACCGCGAGAACGGGGCGCCCUUCGUGCCGCCACCGCCCGCGCUGGACGAGCUGGGCGGCCCGGGGGGCGCCGGGCACCCGGACGAGCGCCUUGGCGCGGCCGGCGGCCCAGGUGGCGCCCCGGCGGCGAGUAGCGGCGCGGGCGCCGAGGACGAGGAGGAGGAGCUGCUGGAGGACGAAGAGGACGAGGACGAGGAAGAGGAGCUGCUGGAGGACGACGAGGAGGAGCUGCUGGAGGACGACGCCCGCGCGCUGCUCAAGGAACCGCGGCGCUGCGCCGUGCCCGCCACUGGAGCGGUGACCGCCGCCGCCGCCGCCGCCGCCGCCGUGGCCUCCGAGGGCGGGGAGCUGUCCCCUAAGGAGGAGCUGCUGCUGCACCCGGAGGACGCUGAGGGCAAGGACGGCGAGGAUAGCGUGUGCCUGUCUGCCGGCAGCGACUCAGAGGAGGGGCUGCUGAAGCGCAAACAGCGGCGCUACCGCACCACGUUCACCAGCUACCAGCUGGAGGAACUGGAGCGGGCCUUCCAGAAGACGCACUACCCAGACGUCUUCACCAGGGAGGAACUGGCCAUGAGGCUGGACUUGACUGAGGCCCGGGUCCAGGUCUGGUUCCAGAACCGUCGGGCGAAGUGGCGCAAGCGGGAGAAGGCGGGCGCACAGACCCACCCCCCGGGUCUGCCCUUCCCCGGGCCGCUCUCGGCCACCCACCCGCUCAGCCCCUACCUGGACGCCAGCCCCUUCCCUCCGCACCAUCCUGCGCUCGACUCGGCCUGGACGGCCGCUGCUGCAGCCGCCGCCGCCGCCUUCCCGAGCCUACCUCCGCCUCCGGGCUCCGCCAGCCUGCCGCCCAGCGGGGCGCCGCUGGGCCUGAGCACUUUCCUCGGAGCCGCAGUGUUCCGGCACCCGGCCUUCAUCAGCCCUGCGUUCGGCAGACUCUACCUUCCUUGUCAUUCAAGUGAUCCGCUGCCAACCAUACCCUCAUAUAUGCAACCCCGGACCCCCAGAGCAGCACAAGACAACGAACUCAAAGAAACGGUUCAUCAUAUAUUAUAAAUCCCUUUCUUUAAAUGAACAUCGAAUGAUGAAAUUAAAAGUCUGUAUAAUCAUACAGACAAAGAAACAAAGGAGAGAUGUAUUAAGUUGGAAAGUGCAGUGAAAAUAAAACUGAAUGCAGUUUCAAUGAUCUCUCUUUGGGAGAACAAAGAAAUAAUAGACUCAUCCAACUGCGCAGCCACUUAACAAAAAAAUCAUCUUGGAGAAAAUUUUCAAAAAAGACUCAGUAAAAUUACUUUCUUGUAACAACCAAUGAAGUAAACAGAUAGUGCACUGAAGUGUAGUUAGUGACUCAGUUUACCUAGUGGAACCAGGGCAUGUUACGCCCCCUCCAGGCCACACUUUAUUAUUUCCUUUUGGAAAAAAAUGUUUAAGUCCUCUGUCGCUCGCCCACCACCCUCUCCUUUCCCUCUUCUCACAACAAGUGACUGGUAAAAGUUGCCAAACCACGGCUGGAGUACCAGCUGCGACAUUUGGAGAGGCUGGAAGAGGGGCGCGGUGGGGGUGGCACAAGAGGUGGAAGGUGGGCUUGGGAGAAGCGAGGGGCGCUCCUGGAGCCCAGGUGGGCUUAUUUCUAAUCGUGGAAACCCUGAGUUGGCCUUCCGGGGGGCCGGAGCCAAAGCCCUAGGAGCUAGCGGCGGGGGUGGUGGUGGCGGCGGCAUUGAGGGUCAGGGCCGGCUCGGCCUCUGCCGCAAGUCUGGCGCGGUGCAGUGCAGAGGGUGGAAGUGCCGUGCGGGUUAAUGCUGGCGCCUUCUGGAGGCGGGUUCGCGGACUGGAGUCCCAGACUUGGGUUUCGCCGUGCGCCGCACGCGGGGGGGCUCUUUGGUACGUGCGUGCGGCGCAGGCAAUGCGCUCCUAGCGGGUCAGAGCUGCCUGGCGAGCGGAAAUCAACAGGCGGGAGCCCCCAUCCCCACCUCGCGGUCGUCGGUCGGGCUCUGACAGCUCUGCCCGGCGCAGGAAGACGGCCGCGGCGGCGGGAAGGCUGGCGAACAAGACCAGCUUUUCCAGGGUGGAAGGAGCCCCGGGCCGAGAAGGCGCUCUAUAGAAGGAGUACAAAGUGCAGCACAGGCUCUUUUCCACCAUGGCCCCCCUGACCAGCGCGUCGACCGCGGCCGCGCUCCUGAGACAGCCCACGCCGGCCGUGGAGGGCGCAGUGGCGUCGGGCGCGCUGGCCGACCCGGCCACGGCGGCCGCAGACAGACGC